AAUCAACGCCGGCGGCGUGCCUAACACAUGCAAGUCGAACGAGAAAGUGGAGCAAUCCAUGAGUAAAGUGGCGACCGGGUGAGUAACACGUGACUAACCUACCUUCAAGUGGGGGAUAACCUCGGGAAACCGGGGCUAAUACCGCAUAAUAUCUUUGGGGCGGAAGAACCGAAGAUCAAAGGAGCAAUUCGCUGGAAGAGGGGGUCGCGGCUGAUUAGUUAGUUGGCGGGGUAAUGGCCCACCAAGACAGAGAUCGGUAGCCGGCCUGAGAGGGCGCACGGCCACACUGGAACU
This 294-nucleotide ribosomal RNA is filed under the name uncultured bacterium. RNAcentral's name for it is "partial 16S ribosomal RNA". It matches the Rfam family "Bacterial small subunit ribosomal RNA", at positions 32 to 320 of the family's 1533-position model. The record is from RNAcentral.